GGUUACUAGAGGAAACUCUAGGAGGAAAUUAAUCGUUCUCUAUGCACCAUAUCAUUUCAAUUAUAGACAGUAAAUAAUGCACAAGGGUAUGAGGUCUCACACCAAAUUAUAGCAUAACAAUACUAGCUGGCUAUUCAUUUUUUGAUCAUCACCCAUCCUGUGAACUAUAAAAGAAGAUAUUAAGCUAAUCUGAUAUGAAAAUAAUCCAAGUACUUAUUUUCAAUGAGUAGUAUUUCUAAGGGGACACAGGCUGUCUCAAGUGCAGGUUAUAUACUUCAAAUACUUUUCUGAAGUUUUGGAAAGAGUGCAACUAAGUACAGAGAAUUAAUUAGGUCAUUUCCUGCUUCUUUUGCUAAAUCAUGAUCUUGGAUGACAACACAAUGGAAGACAGUUAUUCUGUCACAAUCAAAGAGAUAUUUGUAGACAAGAGCAGCUCUGGAUUUAAAUGUGCAUUCUUCUCCAAAGGGCGGAGACCCAGCGCAUGUGUUCCUUCUUCCACACUGCUACUGCUCAUUGAUCUGCUUUGCUGUCCCAUGAACCUCUUCCAGUGUUUCUGCGUCCUGUUCAGGAUGGAGAACUCAUAACCAUGUACAGAGGUCAGCACGAAGGAGCCGCUGGCUUCACAUCGUGCCACCACAAUGGUUUCCGUAAAAGCGGGUGGGGAAGGGGAGGGAGCAGAGAAAUAAUCCCAAAUAUUUAAAGUCAUGGCUACCAGGCUUGAUUCCUGGACUGUAACGGUUUGAAAAGUUAAUGAGUGAGUAAGUGAUGCCACUUCUAAAUGUUCUCCUUUAAAACUGGUUUUACAGACAGUUGUGCAGAACCUCUCUAGGCAGGACUAUGCAUUGCCAGUGGAACAAAACUACUGCAAAAGGUAAAGAAAAGGUCAAAUAAUUUGGCAUCAUUCUCUGCUGGGAAAUGCUUAGUAUAUAGUAACUGUUGUCAGCACUUGCGGGUGGGUGGUCUCUUGAGGAUGAAGGCUGCAUGGAAAUUCCCAUGUUUUGGGCAAAGAAACAAAAGGGACCUAUUGCCUUGUAAGACAUGUAGCCAAGAGGGGAGUGUCUCAGCUGACACUGCUGUGUGCGAUUGAACUGCAUGGUGCUAGUGAUGGAAGUGAAAAUAAAUUCAAGUACAGUACUGAGUGAACUAGGAAA
RNAcentral lists this long non-coding RNA (1151 nucleotides) under Anser brachyrhynchus (Pink-footed goose). RNAcentral describes it as "lncRNA (ENSABRG00000023025.1)". Lineage: Eukaryota; Metazoa; Chordata; Aves; Anseriformes; Anatidae. The record is from RNAcentral.